Molecule: ribosomal RNA, 447 nt
Filed under: uncultured bacterium
Lineage: Bacteria
Description: bacterial SSU rRNA
Rfam family: Bacterial small subunit ribosomal RNA
Source: RNAcentral
CGCUGGCGGCGUGCUUAACACAUGCAAGUCGAACGAUGAAGCCCUUCGGGGUGGAUUAGUGGCGAACGGGUGAGUAACACGUGGGCAAUCUGCCCUUCACUCUGGGACAAGCCCUGGAAACGGGGUCUAAUACCGGAUAACACUCCUGCCUGCAUGGGCGGGGGUUAAAAGCUCCGGCGGUGAAGGAUGAGCCCGCGGCCUAUCAGCUUGUUGGUGGGGUAAUGGCCUACCAAGGCGACGACGGGUAGCCGGCCUGAGAGGGCGACCGGCCACACUGGGACUGAGACACGGCCCAGACUCCUACGGGAGGCAGCAGUGGGGAAUAUUGCACAAUGGGCGAAAGCCUGAUGCAGCGACGCCGCGUGAGGGAUGACGGCCUUCGGGUUGUAAACCUCUUUCAGCAGGGAAGAAGCGAAAGUGACGGUACCUGCAGAAGAAGCGCCGGCU